RNAcentral lists this long non-coding RNA (1250 nucleotides) under Sorghum bicolor (sorghum). RNAcentral describes it as "long non-coding RNA (SBIC_LNC016708)". Lineage: Eukaryota; Viridiplantae; Streptophyta; Magnoliopsida; Poales; Poaceae. The record is from RNAcentral.
AGCCAUUGUUCUCCACAAACAAACCCUAAUCCGAUACGAGAAUAUGCGCAGCCAGCGACCAGAAGCGCCACUAUCCUCAUUAUUACUGCCUUUGCGCUACCCCGACGUCCACGCUGCCGCUGGGACGCCGCUGCCUCUUCACCGACACUCACCAUCGACGCCAUGGACAACUCCUCCUCCUCUAAGUCUGACGGUCAGCGACAUCUACUCCUCUCUCUCUCUCCCUGUGUGUGUGUGUGUGAUUACUCUCUCCACUUCAUGUUUUAGGAUGCUUCAUACCAUAUGUAAGGUUGUAUUCCACACACCCACUAGAUCUAUUUCUCUAAUGGUCCUGUUUUUCCUAUCAUCUAUGUCAGUCAGAUCACCUCAGUGCAAACGGAUGGAAAUUUUCAGGAUUUGGUGGGCUCGUCUCAUCUGCUAUUGGAAAAAUGACCUCCGUGCAAUUGCCGCUGCCGAAACUUCGUCUGAUGGUCACAAGUUUCAGUAGCAGGAGGCCAUCAAAUUAAACGGAGAGACUUUGUGUAUAGCAGCCAUCGUCGUUCAACGACGUGAUGUGAAAUUGAUGGACCCAACAAGGCCCGGCGACAGGAACAUUUGGACGUCAACCCAGCGUCAAUGAGUACGAUUUGCCGAUGCUUACCAUGGUGGACCGAUGGGGAGCUGCUGAGGCGGCCGAUGACGUGGGCACGUUCGCUUGAGUUUAUUAACCAAAAUUAAUAACUAUUCAAUUAUAUUUUAUUAAUAAGUCAACCAAUGGUAUUUCAUGGCUUAUCAGGUAAACAAAGAAGUUGUCGCCAUCCGUCCGCUGAAGCUAAGGACGCCACCUCAACCGCAUCACAUCGUCGCCUGCCGGUGCCUGAUGGUACCUACGUGCUGUACGUGCGGCCGGGAGGAGGGAGACGUGUGACGCGGAGGCGACGACGGACGGAGUAGUCGAAAGCCGCCGGAGGAAUCGACGAAGCUGGUGGCUGCGGAGUGACCAGACGGCCGGCCAGCCGAAAUCAGUCGCACGUACCAUUCGUGCCGCCGUACGUCCCGUCAGGCCGGCCGUCACCUUCUCCGAUCCUGUUACCGCCGUGGCGUACGUGGAUGGACAAGCUAGAAUUCGUCCUUGAUCAGCUGGAGGCUGAGCAGGGUUAAGGCCUUGUUUAGUUCACCCAAAGAGCAAAAAGUUUUCAAGAUUCUUCAUCAAAUCGAAUCUUGCGGCACAUGCAUGAAGCAUUAAAUAUAGACGAAAGCAAAAAUUAAUU